GAAGAGAAAAAAAAAUAAAAAUAAAACUAGUGCCCCCUUUUGCUCUGCUAGGGUUUCAUCCCUAGCAUCCUUGCACCGCCGUUCGAUUGCGCCAACGCUCCGAUCGCGACGGAGUUGACAACAAUCCGGCAACUUCAACGAAGAAGGUAAGAUCCCUUCCUUCUUUUCUUGGUUACUUUAAGUGAAAUAAAAUGAAAGUAAAGAUAAAAGAAAAAUGUAAAUAAAGAUGAUAGUCACUGCAAAAGAAAAAAAAACUAAAAGAAUCACCUUUAAAAAAAAACUCGAAUUUUCUGUUCUCUAUUGAAUUUUUCCCUCUGUAUUCUCUCAAUACCAAAAAAUCCCCCCUAAUCACUGUACAAAUUUGGCUUUAUAUAGCCCGAUAAAUGCUUUACUUUUACAAUAAUUUUCUUCUGGACUCUUAGUCCAUGCUUGUAGGUAUUGUGGGAGUAUGGCGCGGGAAAGGGGCUCCGAGACGUGCGCAUGGAGGCCGAAACUUGCGGCGGUUAGGGGCUAUUUUUGCUGGGUUAGGGUUGAAAUUGGCUAUUAGGCCCGAUAUUGGGCCUGCUAUUGCUUUUGUUGUGUUUGUUUUAUUAUUUGUAGGGCCUGGGUCGAUUGGGUCCUAUUACAAACAGAAUUACAAUUAUGUUUUAUGAAUAUGUAGAUAAAGACCAAAAAUUAAAGCAAAAUUUUAACAUCCACUGAAGAAAUGAUGUAAUAAUUAGAAGGCG
This 728-nucleotide long non-coding RNA is filed under the name Gossypium raimondii (Peruvian cotton). Its description in RNAcentral is "long non-coding RNA (GRAI_LNC000341)". Lineage: Eukaryota; Viridiplantae; Streptophyta; Magnoliopsida; Malvales; Malvaceae. The record is from RNAcentral.